Molecule: unclassified non-coding RNA, 23 nt
Filed under: Chlamydomonas reinhardtii
Lineage: Eukaryota; Viridiplantae; Chlorophyta; Chlorophyceae; Chlamydomonadales; Chlamydomonadaceae
Description: small RNA Cre_0655
Source: RNAcentral
AUAAGUGGGAGCUUCGGCGACGG